This 273-nucleotide non-coding RNA is filed under the name Gracilibacter sp. RNAcentral's name for it is "T-box sequence". It matches the Rfam family "T-box leader". Rfam says of the family: Uncharged tRNA acts as the effector for transcription antitermination of genes in the T-box leader family. T-boxes are found upstream of many aminoacyl-tRNA synthetase genes and some amino acid biosynthetic genes usually in Gram-positive bacteria. Lineage: Bacteria; Bacillati; Bacillota; Clostridia; Eubacteriales; Gracilibacteraceae. The record is from RNAcentral.
GUAAAGGCAAGGAAAAGGACUAGUAUCGGUAAACUGGAUUUCAGAAAGCUGUUGGCUGAUGUGAAACAGUAGAAGGGUUAUCGGGAACUCACCUUGGAGCUGCUAUUUGAAAUUCAGGGAAUUACUUUUUUGUUCCUUGGAAAGUAAGUUUAGACGGAGCCCCACCGUUACAGGGGGAGGACAUAAGGCUAGUCCCUGUGUCCAUUUUGAGGGUAUGAACUUGGCUUCAUAAAUUAGAGUGGUACCGCGAAAGUUCGGUCUUUCGUCUCUAAC